AACUAACGCUGGCGGCGUGCCUAACACAUGCAAGUCGUACGAGAAAGCCGGCUUCGGCUGGUGAGUAAAGUGGCGCACGGGUGAGUAACGCGUGGAUAAUCUGCCCUUAAGUGUGGAAUAACGUACCGAAAGGUGCGCUAAUACCGCAUAAUGCCUGGCAACACAAGUUGUCCGGCCAAAGAAGGCCUCUGUUUACAAGCUUUCGCUUCAGGAUGAGUCCGCGUACCAUUAGCUUGUUGGUGGGGUAAUGGCCUACCAAGGCUGCGAUGGUUAGCUGGUCUGAGAGGAUGAUCAGCCACACUGGAACUGAGACACGGUCCAGACUCCUACGGGAGGCAGCAGUGAGGAAUAUUGCGCAAUGGGGGCAACCCUGACGGCAGCAACGCCGCGUGAGUGAGGAAGGUUUUCGGACUGUAAAGCUCUGUGAGCGGGAAGAAGUGUACCAUGGCUAAUAUACCACUGAUAUUUGACGGUACCGCUAGAGGAA
RNAcentral lists this ribosomal RNA (487 nucleotides) under uncultured bacterium. Its description in RNAcentral is "bacterial SSU rRNA". It matches the Rfam family "Bacterial small subunit ribosomal RNA", at positions 29 to 489 of the family's 1533-position model. The record is from RNAcentral.